GUGUCAGCAGCCGCGGUAAUACCGGCAGCUCGAGUGAUGACCGAUUUUAUUGGGCCUAAAGCGUCCGUAGCUGGCCAGGCAAGUCCGUUGGGAAAUCCACCUGCUCAACAGGUGGGCGUCCAGCGGAAACUGCUUGGCCUGGGACCGGAAGAUCCAAGGGGUACGUCCGGGGUAGGAGUGAAAUCCUGUAAUCCUGGACGGACCGCCGAUGGCGAAAGCACCUUGGAAGGACGGAUCCGACAGUGAGGGACGAAAGCUAGGGUCUCGAACCGGAUUAGAAACCCCUGUGGUCC
This 293-nucleotide ribosomal RNA is filed under the name uncultured prokaryote. Its description in RNAcentral is "partial 16S ribosomal RNA". It matches the Rfam family "Archaeal small subunit ribosomal RNA", at positions 455 to 747 of the family's 1478-position model. The record is from RNAcentral.